AAAUUAAAGAAAAGGUGGUGAAAAGUGAAGAGAUCUCUCUCUCUCUUUUUUUUUUAGGCAUAUAAGAACACAUUAUAUAACUUCUACAGCACUCCAUUCUUUUUUAAGUCAAGUGGGAGAUAGGAAGUAGAGUGUACCUAAAAGAAGUGAUGCCCCAGAAGCAAUGAGCACACCUAGCACAGAGAUCUUGGUGUCUGAUGCUAUUCUCCAAUAAAAGGAAACAUGGAUCCUCAGAGAACUGGCUGCUUCUUCACCUGCGGCACAAAAGGUUGCAUUUGCUUCUCAACACCACAUCAGCUGCCCCCCAUCUUCCACUUCCUGGGAACGUCUGUUGGCCCAUAAUGGCUUCCCUAGGCCUUUUCUCUGUAUCAUAAAUUUCACCUUAAACUCUGAUGAGUAACUGGAAAACAAUUCAUGUAUUUCUUAUUCCAAAUUUAAGUUUACAGAAGCAGGAAUCAGACAGGCCUGGUCAUCUCUUCAAGUCAGGCCACGGAGGUCACCGUUGCCUGGUCAGCCUGGAGUCAAGGGACUGUGGUCCCUGGAGUCAAGGGACCACACCACCUGGUGUGGUGACAGAGUUUCUUUUAGAGGAGACUGUGGUCAGAGAGGGUGCUCCAGCCAAAUCUAAGUAGCACCGGGUUGAAGUUUUCAUACGGUGCUCUCAGAAUCCUUUGAUAGCAUACCCAGGCCAUCCAUAGCUUCCUUUGUUCACACUGUUUGCAGGUAAAAAAGUCCAUUGGCUAGAUUUCAGGAACAAAGUGUUUCUUCAAAUAAAAUGGAAGUUUAUGCUGCAUCUGAUUCCUACUCCUGAAUACCCUCUUCCUCACCUAUUUUAAAACUCAAGACAUCUGAUUAAAGUCACCAGACAGCCCCAGGACUCUCCGCAGGAUACUGAACAAUGGUCUUUAGGAAGACUAAGCUUUCACUGCCCUCUAGUGGAGCGGAGGAGGCAGUUUUGUUGUUAAUAAUAGUUAUGGUUCAAGUUUGAAUAGAUAAACUGGAUCCACUUUAUUGUCCAAAAAGAGGCAAAAGAACAGAAGAGAGAUUUUGUAUGAAGGGAUUAAAAAAAGGAGUUUGUAUAAGAUGCCAAAACUGUCUGGGAAGAAAGGAAGAGCCUUCAGGAAAGCCUGAAUGCUGGGAGCCCAAGCUUAGAGAACACAGAUGAGUAUAGCUGAGGCCCAGAAGUUUCCAAGGAAUGAAGAAGCAUCGUCUGAAUGACAGGAGCUGUGUGGGAGUGAAGUCCUCAUGAGAAGACUGCCUACAUGGUGUUCACUUGAUAGGAACGCCAUAAACAGCACUCACCCACUGUUAGCAUUGUGAGACUUCAAAGCGCCUGCACCCAAGUGUGUGUCUGGUAUACUGCCAAACCCAUCCCACCUCCAAGUUUUCCCAUGGGAUGCUUCCUUACGGCAUUCCUUCAGCUCUGCAAUCAUUACCCAGAAAACAAUUCAGUGCUCAAAAGCUGGUUUCAUGAACAGUAUAUCAACAGGGGUUUCUAGACCCCAAGUUCACAACUGAAAGGAACUUUGGCACAUGUUUUUGAAUGAGACAAUAAAAACACUGUGACAUCUAGAUAAGACAUUGGAAAAUGAAGUCCUAUGUUCUACUUCAAAGUUUUCUUGGAGAGACUCAGCUGAGUAUUAUUUGCAAUCCAAAUAACUGGAUGUAGGUAGACCUUGUCAUAUAGACCUAAUGUAAGUAUGAGGCUGAUGUUUGUUCUUUACAGCAGAAAACUAUACAUUGUUGAACUACUUAUCUGCAAAUUGUCAGGCUACUAAGCUACUUACAUGAGUAAGUAUGGAUUCACUCUAAAAAGUAGAGAGUAAAUGCAUAAUGAUGCAUAACUUCAAUGAUUAUAACAAAACUAUCCCUACCUGAAAUAACAAAGCUUGCAGGUCUACCAUGGGGCUUUGUGGUAUA
Molecule: long non-coding RNA, 1920 nt
Organism: Mustela erminea (ermine)
Lineage: Eukaryota; Metazoa; Chordata; Mammalia; Carnivora; Mustelidae
Exons: 3
Source: RefSeq, a predicted model, not a curated record